GCUUCAAGAAGUUUCCUAGCGCUCUGUGGCAGUUUAUGGAUUCACACGAGAAAAGGAGACAAUUCACAGAGCUAGCAUUAUUUUGCCUCCUGUCUUCAGAGAUAUAUUCUGCUGUUUUGUGAGACAUUU
RNAcentral lists this small nucleolar RNA (129 nucleotides) under Myotis lucifugus (little brown bat). RNAcentral describes it as "Small nucleolar RNA SNORA75 (ENSMLUG00000019626.2)". The record is from RNAcentral. Lineage: Eukaryota; Metazoa; Chordata; Mammalia; Chiroptera; Vespertilionidae.